This is a non-coding RNA of Schizosaccharomyces pombe (fission yeast), 1101 nucleotides long. Lineage: Eukaryota; Fungi; Ascomycota; Schizosaccharomycetes; Schizosaccharomycetales; Schizosaccharomycetaceae. The record is from the annotation of a GenBank genome assembly.
CAUCCAAAAAUUUUGAUUGAUGACUGAAAUCAGGAAACAUAUUACCACCUUUCGGUGUAAUAAAGAUUUAGAAAAUGCAGGGAUCGAUCCGGGUUUUUGUCGAUAGAAAGGUGGCAACCCCUUAUAUAAAAGAAUACAUACUGAUAGAAGAACGAAUGAUACCGGCCAAACUCCUGCUACAACAUAAACACUAUUAAUGGGUUGUAGUAGCACUUUAUAGUUAUAGUCCAAACGACUGGAUAAGGUUCCCCAGAGCCAAAGAAACGAUAACCAAAGUUGUUGAACUCCUUGUAAAACACAAGCACGUGUGAUCGAAGAUCCCAACCCCGAACAAUGUUCAUCUUCAAAAUUCAGAGUGAAAUACAAUGGCCCACUCGCAGCAGCUAUUGCAUAAACCCAUGUCGCAGCGUAACUUAGCCAUCCACGAAUAUGGUAAGGUAGUGACAUAGAUGAAAUGCCAGUAAACAGGAAAGCCAAAGCAUACACUGCAAAAGGAAGCGAUAAGGAAUGAACACUUGGAAGGUUCCGAUACAAACCCCACCAAACAAUCGUUGAAAGAAUAAAAACGCCUGUGAUUACGUACAAAGAUAUUUGAUUAUUAUCUUCAAAUCCUGAUAAAAGAGAAAGUUGAAACGAUGAAAUAGAUAAAAUUUGGCCUAACGAGAGGAAGAUUGUGUAAAGCGGCCAAGUGAAAACUUUAAGAUAUAGAAUUCUUUGAUAAAUGUUUAGUCGAGUACUAGCCGCACUCUUAUAUCGGGGUUUCGUGUAAGCAUUUAAAGGAAGUUGGUUUACCAAGUCAUCAUCAGGGUCCACAUCUUUAGACUUUUUGUCUUUGAUCUUUAAAUAUUUGUAAACACGCUUCCUAAAUCCUGUCUUGUAAUAGUGAUGUUCUUCGUCAUGCCAACGUGAUUGGACUUUGUUCAAGAAAUGAUCGAUAGAUAAUUUUCCUUUUGAGUUUUCAGGAGUCAAAUAAGUUAACUCAGCAGAAAAAUCCCUUAUUGCAACGCCAUUUGCAUCGAUAAAGCGUUCAUCAAGCCUAGAACCUAUAUUCAUGGAACUCUCAGAUAUGUAAGAUAAUUCGGAAAGUGCUGAACUACUUAG